GCCAGGCAUGGUGGCGCAUGCCUGUAAUCCCAGCUAUUCAGGAGGCUGAGGCAGGAGAAUUGCUUGAACCCAGGAGGUGGAGGUUGCAGUGAGCUGAGAUUGCGCCACUGCACUCCAGCCUGGGUGACAGAGGGAGACUUUGUCUCAA
RNAcentral lists this non-coding RNA (148 nucleotides) under Nomascus leucogenys (northern white-cheeked gibbon). Lineage: Eukaryota; Metazoa; Chordata; Mammalia; Primates; Hylobatidae. The record is from Rfam by way of RNAcentral.